GACGAACGCUGGCGGCGUGCUUAACACAUGCAAGUCGAACGGAAAGGUCCUGCUUUUGUGGGGUGCUCGAGUGGCGAACGGGUGAGUAACACGUGAGUAACCUGCCCUUGACUUUGGGAUAACUUCAGGAAACUGGGGCUAAUACCGGAUAGGAGCUCCUGCUGCAUGGUGGGGGUUGGAAAGUUUCGGCGGUUGGGGAUGGACUCGCGGCUUAUCAGCUUGUUGGUGGGGUAGUGGCUUACCAAGGCUUUGACGGGUAGCCGGCCUGAGAGGGUGACCGGCCACAUUAGGACUGAGAUACGGCCCAGACUCCUACGGGAGGCAGCAGUGGGGAAUAUUGCACAAUGGGCGGAAGCCUGAUGCAGCAACGCCGCGUGCGGGAUGACGGCCUUCGGGUUGUAAACCGCUUUCGCCUGUGACGAAGCGUGAGUGACGGUAAUGGGUAAAGAAGCACCGGCUAACUACGUG
This 468-nucleotide ribosomal RNA is filed under the name uncultured bacterium. RNAcentral describes it as "partial 16S ribosomal RNA". It matches the Rfam family "Bacterial small subunit ribosomal RNA", at positions 28 to 507 of the family's 1533-position model. The record is from RNAcentral.